This is an RNA transcript of Dicentrarchus labrax (European seabass), 4477 nucleotides long. It is a transcript of the gene named WD repeat domain 19, with no coding region annotated. NCBI's taxonomy places the organism in Eukaryota, Metazoa, Chordata, Actinopteri, Moronidae. The record is from RefSeq and is a predicted model, not a curated record. The transcript is spliced from 37 exons.
UGCAGACGCUUCAGAGUGAAGCAUUGUGGGAUAAACACAACAGUUAUGUCGUGAGAUUAUUUGAACAGAAAAUGUCGAUUUAAAGUUUAUUUGAUUAAACGCCAGCAAGAUGAAGAGCGUUUUUAUCCUCGAUGACCAAGCCUGGGCGGGUUCUAGCCUCCUGUAUAAGUGGCAGAGAGCCCUUGGUAAUUAUAUCGCUGUUGCAGGACAGGACAGCUCAGUGAAAAUAUUUGAUCGACAUGGACACAAGUGGACUGAACUCAACCUUCCGGGACGCUGUGUGGGAAUGGACUGGGAUAAAGAUGGGGACAUUUUGGCGGUGAUAGCUGCAAAAUCCAGUUCUGUCUAUCUCUGGGAUGCCAGUGUCAAUAAAACAUCCCAGAUAGACAGCGGCAUGAGAGACCAGAUGUCUUUCAUCCUGUGGUCAAAAACGGGCCCACUGUUGGCUGUUGGGACAGUCAAAGGAAACCUUUUGAUUUACAAUCAGCAGACCUCACGCAAGAUCCCUGUACUGGGUAAACAUACCAAGAAGAUCACCUGUGGGUGCUGGAGUACUCAGAAUCUAUUGGCUCUGGGAAGUGAUGACAGCACGCUGAGCAUCAGCAAUCAUGAGGGGGACACCAUCAGACAGACAACGCUCCGCGGUGAACCUGCUGAGAUUUCCUUUUCUGUGAUGAAGACGGAUGAAAGGUCCGGUCUAGGAGAGAACACUGUGAGCCUGUCUGUGGACAAGAAGAUACUGAUGCUUUUCAAUGUCAACGACCCUGAAAACCGGAUAGAAUUGACCUUCCAGCGCCACUAUGGAAACAUUGUGUCCUACCGCUGGUAUGGUGAUGGGUAUAUACUGAUAGGCUUCUCCCAUGGGUACUUUGUGGUUAUUUCCACCCACAUCAGGGAGAUUGGGCAGGAGCUCUAUCAGGCUCACAACCACAAAGAUAGUCUCAACAGUGUGGCCAUCUCGCCAGCACUGAACAAGGCUGCCUCCUGUGGUGACAACAGCAUAAAGAUCCACGAACUGUCUGACCUCAAAUAUAUUAGCAACGUCGUUCGGUUGGAUGAUGAGACCAAAGGUCUGGACCAGCUGAACUGGACAGAUGACGGCCAGCUGUUGGCAAUUUCCACACUGAAAGGGACGCUCCAUGUCUUCCUGACCAAGCUGCCCAUCCUGGGUGACAGCUUUGGUACCCGGCUUGCCUUCCUCACCUCCCUGCUGGAGGUCACUGUGUCCAACCAGGUUGAGGGGGAGAGUCCUGUGGCCAUACAAGUGGAAGUAGAGCCUACUUUCAUUGCGAUGGGACCUUACCAUGUGGCUGUGGGAAUGAACAACAGAGCCUGGUUCUACGCCUUGGUAGACCAAGAACCUGGUUAUAACAAGCUAAAGGACAUUGAGUACUUGGGGACCAUAGCCAGCAUGUGUCUUAACUCAGACUAUGCAGCAGCGCUGUUUGAGGGAAAAGUGCAGCUGCACAUGAUUGAAGGGAAAGACCAGGAGGAGAAGAAGCAGAUGAAGUUGUUUCCAGACGAUGACAGGAAAGGUCGGAUCAUUUGCCACGCCCUCACCGCUGACUUCCUCUACUACGGCACUGAUUCAGGUAAUGUGGUGUGUGUGUUGGUGGAGGACUGGGAGACCGUGAGCAGCUACAGCCACUCGGUUGGCGUGAGGAAAGUGUUCCCCGACCUAAACGGCACACGGCUGGUUUUCAUUGACGACAAGAACUGCGGCUUCCUUCUCUCCCCUGCAAAUGCAACAGACUCCUGCUUUGAGCUGCCCAACUUCUCUCCCACCAUCACAGGAGUGAUGUGGGACAACUGGCAUGCUGACAGAGGAGUGUUUGUAGCUUAUGAUGAUGACAAGGUCUAUACCUACGCCCUGCAUAAAACCACCAUAUAUGGCCCCCGGGUGGUGUUGGUGGGGAGUACUGCGCUUCUGUUUUCCCAGAAGCCUUUGCUCUUGUACAAUGGGGAGCUGACGUGUCAGACGGCGAGCGGCAAAACAAGUGAAGUGGCUCUGAGCACACACGCCUUCCUCAAGCUCUCCACAAGCUCAUCAAUAGACUCACCGCAGGAGCUCAGCAAGCAGCUCACCCAUGCCCUAAUGCUCAAGAGGUUCCAUGAAGCCUGGGAUCUGUGUAAGUCUGCAGGUAGUAACACAGACUGGGCGGAGUUAGGCAACGCCUGUUUGGUCCACAUGGACGUCGAGCUGGCCAUCCAGGUCUACCGUACGAGUGGCAAUGUCGGUAUGGUCCUGUCACUGCAGGGCAUCCAGGGUAUAGAGGACAUGAAUUUACGGGCAGGACAUUUGGCCAUGUUCCUAGGCGACUAUAACCUGGCACAGGACCUCUAUCUGUCCUCAAGCUGCCCAAUUGCUGCCCUGGAGAUGAGGAGAGACCUGUUGCAUUGGGACAGUGCCCUUAUGUUAGCCAAGAGGUUAGCAGAAGACCAAAUUCCCUUUAUAUCCAAAGAAUACGCUGUUCAUCUGGAGUUUAUUGGAGACUAUGUGAAUGCUCUGGCACACUAUGAAAAGGGCAUGACCCACAAUAAUAAAUUCCAGGAGCACGACGAGGCUUGUCAAGCAGGUGUGGCCCGGAUGUCCAUCAGGAUGGGCGACAUCAGGAGAGGAGCUGCUCAGGCAAUUCAGCACCCGAGCAGAGUCCUCAAGAAGGAAUGUGGAGCCAUACUGGAGAGCAUGAAGCAAUUCUCUGAAGCCGCUCAGCUCUAUGAAAAAGGCCAGUAUUAUGACAAAGCAGCAUCAGUCUACAUUCGCUGCAAGAACUGGGCAAAGGUGGGCGAGUUGCUCCCACACGUCUCCUCUCCUAAGAUCCACCUGCAGUACGCCAAGGCCAAGGAAGCAGACGGGAAGUAUAAGGAAGCUGCAAGGGCCUAUGAGAGCGCCAAAGACUGGGACAACGUGAUACGUGUGCAGCUGGACCACCUGAGCAACCCUGGGGAAGCAGUUCGCAUUGUCAGGGAGACGCAGAGUAUCGACGGGGCAAAGACGGUUGCCAGGUUCUUCCUGGGGUUGAACGACUACGGCUCGGCCAUCCACUUCCUGGUGCUGUCUCAGUGCAACGAUGAAGCUUUCCAACUGGCACAGCAGCACGGAAAAAUGGAGGUCUACGCAGACAUCAUCGGUCCUGAGGCGACGCAGGAGGACUACCAGAGCAUUGCUCUCUACUUUGAGGGAGAGAAGAAACACCUGCAGGCUGGCAAGUUCUUUCAGAAGUGCGGGCAGUACAGCAGAGCCCUGAAACACUUCCUGAAGUGUCCAAACACUGAUGACAAUUUGGCCGUCGAGAUGGCUAUAGAGACAGUGGGUCAGGCCAAGGACAGUUCUCUGACCAAUCAGCUGAUAGAUUACCUGAUGGGAGAGAGCGACGGUAUGCCCAAGGAUGCCAAGUACCUGUUCCGUCUGUAUAUGGCACUGCAGCAGUACAGGGAAGCUGCUCGCACCGCCAUCAUCAUCGCCAGAGAAGAGCAGUGUGCAGGGAACUAUCGUAAUGCCCAUGACGUGCUGUUCAGCAUGUACACGGAGCUGCAGGCCCAGAAGAUUAAAAUUCCUGCUGAGAUGGCCACCAAUCUGAUGAUCCUCCACUCCUACCUACUGGUCAAAAUCCAUGUAAAGAGGGGAGACCACCUGAAAGGGGCUCGCAUGCUCAUCCGUGUCAGCAACAAUAUCAGCAAGUUUCCUGCACAUGUUGUUCCCAUUCUGACGUCAGCAGUCAUCGAAUGUCACCGUGCCGGACUGAAGAACUCGGCUUUUAGCUUCGCUGCCAUGUUGAUGAGACCGGAGUACCGAAAUGAGAUCGACCCGAAGUACAGGAAGAAGAUCGAGGCUAUGGUUCGACGUCCAGAUACAUCCGAGCUGGAGGAGGAAACCACUCCAUGUCCCUUCUGUGGCUUUCAGCUGCCUCAGAACGAACUGCUGUGUAUCUCCUGCAAGAACAACCUGCCCUACUGCAUUGCCACGGGUCGUCAUAUGCUGAAAGAAGACUGGUCUGUGUGUCCUCAUUGUGAAUUUCCUGCUCUCUACUCCCAGUUCAUUCUCUACAGUUCUUUAAAAAGAAGACGUUUGAUCUUCAUCAACCGGCCCUUAUCACCGUCUUGUGACUCCAGACAGAGCUGAUUGAAGGCUGAUACAUUGCUUCAAGUGAUUUCACUUCCACAGUCUGAAAAUGAAAAUAAUCUGUGGAUGUGGAGUUCGAUAAAAGUUGCUGGAAACUGAGACGAUGUGUCCCAUGUGCUCCGAGACACUGAGUGUCAAACAGCUGAAGAAGAUCUCGGAUUGUUCCGAAUACUUGCAAGCUGAUGAACUGGAUCAAUGAAGAAGAAAAACAAGUGUACAUAGAUGUCCUGUCAGAUUUUUUAUGUUUAAAUAUAUAUUUUGCAGCUUUUAGUUUUAGUUACUGAAUUUUAAAGAUGUUUGUUAUUUCACCAACCAAAAGACCAAUAAUAAAAAACUAUGUAUAUUCAGAGGAAA